Molecule: long non-coding RNA, 256 nt
Filed under: Nicotiana benthamiana
Lineage: Eukaryota; Viridiplantae; Streptophyta; Magnoliopsida; Solanales; Solanaceae
Description: long non-coding RNA (NBEN_LNC029093)
Source: RNAcentral
GAUAGGGUCCCGAGGGGCUCGGGUGUAUUUUGGAUCAUUGGUUGAGAAAUUAGUUAAGUAGUUGAAGUUUGACCAUGGUCAAUAUCGGGUCAAGAUGACCUAUUUUCGGUGUUUCGACUACGCGAACAGAUUCGUAGCGUGCUUUAUGAUUGAAAUGCAUAUAUGGUUUGUGUCCGGAAGGUUCCGAACUAGCUUUGGGUGCUAAAACGAAGAUUCUUAUGUUGCUGAUUUUCACGUGUAAAAUAAUUACUAAAAU